UAGGGAGUGGUGUAAUAGGAAACACGGAGAGUUUUGAUCUCUCAAAUAUAGGUUCGAGUCCUAUUUUUCUAGUA
RNAcentral lists this transfer RNA (74 nucleotides) under Sphyrna lewini (scalloped hammerhead). RNAcentral's name for it is "tRNA-Gln". It matches the Rfam family "tRNA". From Rfam's summary of the family: Transfer RNA (tRNA) molecules are approximately 80 nucleotides in length. Lineage: Eukaryota; Metazoa; Chordata; Chondrichthyes; Carcharhiniformes; Carcharhinidae. The record is from RNAcentral.